RNAcentral lists this ribosomal RNA (367 nucleotides) under uncultured organism. Its description in RNAcentral is "bacterial LSU rRNA". It matches the Rfam family "Bacterial large subunit ribosomal RNA", at positions 2099 to 2465 of the family's 2925-position model. The record is from RNAcentral.
CUUUACUGUAACUUGAGACUGAUUUCGGGCUUUAUUUGCGCAGGAUAGGUGGGAGGCGUUGAAGCAUUCCUUGUGGGGAGUGUGGAGCCAACGGUGAGAUACCACUCUGGUGAGGCUAGAAUUCUAACCCAAUGCCGUGACCCGGCUUGGGAACAGUUUCAGGCGGGCAGUUUGACUGGGGCGGUCGCCUCCUAAAAGGUAACGGAGGCGCGCAAAGGUUCUCUCAGGCUGGUUGGAAAUCAGCCGUAGAGUGUAAAGGCAUAAGAGAGCUUGACUGCGAGACGUACAGGUCGAGCAGGGUGGAAACACGGCCUUAGUGAUCCGACGGCGCUGCGUGGAAAGGCCGUCGCUAAACGGAUAAAAGUUA